This 432-nucleotide ribosomal RNA is filed under the name uncultured bacterium. RNAcentral describes it as "partial 16S ribosomal RNA". It matches the Rfam family "Bacterial small subunit ribosomal RNA", at positions 29 to 507 of the family's 1533-position model. The record is from RNAcentral.
GCGAACGCUGGCGGCAGGCCUAACCCCUGCCAGUCGCACGAACUCUUCGGAGUUAGUGGCGGACGGGUGAGUAACACGUGGGAACGUGCCUUUAGGUUCGGAAUAACUCAGGGAAACUUGUGCUAAUACCGAAUGUGCCCUUCGGGGGAAAGAUUUAUCGCCUUUAGAGCGGCCCGCGUCUGAUUAGCUAGUUGGUGAGGUAAAGGCUCACCAAGGCGACGAUCAGUAGCUGGUCUGAGAGGAUGAUCAGCCACAUUGGGACUGAGACACGGCCCAAACUCCUACGGGAGGCAGCAGUGGGGAAUCUUGCGCAAUGGGCGAAAGCCUGACGCAGCCAUGCCGCGUGAAUGAUGAAGGUCUUAGGAUUGUAAAAUUCUUUCACCGGGGACGAUAAUGACGGUACCCGGAGAAGAAGCCCCGGCUAACUUCGUG